This 664-nucleotide long non-coding RNA is filed under the name Olea europaea (common olive). RNAcentral's name for it is "long non-coding RNA (OEUR_LNC008691)". Lineage: Eukaryota; Viridiplantae; Streptophyta; Magnoliopsida; Lamiales; Oleaceae. The record is from RNAcentral.
GGUGCAUAUUGGGUAAGCUUUCGGACUGACACAAUAACCUAUAAAUUACGUUAGUCAGGUAAAUCGUAUUAGGUAAGCCCAGUGUGAUAGAUUCAAUCGAGAAAUUGUUGAGGGGAAGAAUCGAAGACGUGACUAAAUGUUAACGCCUUGACCCAUGAGGACCGUCUCUUUCUAUUUCUAAUUCUGCAGACAAAGAGAUACUAAUUUACGGGACAAUUUAAUGUUAUAAGUUCCUCUAUACCGAAAUUUUUACUGGAUUUUUACAUAUUUCUUCUCUCUUUAAGUGUUCAGAAUCACGAGUCAAAAUGGUCACCGAUGACUCUGCUUCUUCACCGCUUAUUCCUCCUUAUCCGAUCGUCAAGCCCUCGGAGAUUGACUUGGAGUCGGGGCCGGACGAGCAAAUUCAGUGCCGUAUCUGCUUUGAAACUAAAGGUAAUCUUGUUGUCUAAUUCCAAUUUAUUUUUUAUUUUUACUUAUUCUCAGUUUAUAAAGUUUUCUGUCUGCAAUUUUCUUCUUAAUUACAUGCGAAAAUAAAAAGUAAAGAAUCAUGGGUUUUUAUGAUAAUUUGUGAACGACUUUGAUAUCCCCAUAAUUUGUGUCACCCUUUAGCAAAUGACUUCAGCAGCCAUUUUUGACUUUCUCUACGUUUGACUCAAUAUUUGCA